RNAcentral lists this ribosomal RNA (769 nucleotides) under uncultured bacterium. Its description in RNAcentral is "bacterial SSU rRNA". It matches the Rfam family "Bacterial small subunit ribosomal RNA", at positions 28 to 776 of the family's 1533-position model. The record is from RNAcentral.
GACGAACGCUGGCGGCGUGCCUAAUACAUGCAAGUCGAGCGAAGCUUUUCUGGUGCUUGCACUAGAAAAACUUAGCGGCGAACGGGUGAGUAACACGUAAAGAACCUGCCUCAUAGACGGGGACAACUAUUGGAAACGAUAGCUAAUACCGGAUAACAGCAUAAAUCGCAUGAUAUAUGUUUAAAAGUUGGUUUCGGCUAACACUAUGAGAUGGCUUUGCGGUGCAUUAGCUAGUUGGUGGGGUAAAGGCCUACCAAGGCGACGAUGCAUAGCCGACCUGAGAGGGUGAUCGGCCACACUGGGACUGAGACACGGCCCAGACUCCUACGGGAGGCAGCAGUAGGGAAUCUUCCGCAAUGGGCGAAAGCCUGACGGAGCAACGCCGCGUGAGUGAAGAAGGAUUUCGGUUCGUAAAGCUCUGUUGUUAGGGAAGAAUGAUUGUAUAGUAACUAUAUACAGUAGAGACGGUACCUAACCAGAAAGCCACGGCUAACUACGUGCCAGCAGCCGCGGUAAUACGUAGGUGGCAAGCGUUGUCCGGAAUUAUUGGGCGUAAAGCGCGCGCAGGUGGUUUAAUAAGUCUGAUGUGAAAGCCCACGGCUCAACCGUGGAGGGUCAUUGGAAACUGUUAAACUUGAGUGCAGGAGAGAAAAGUGGAAUUCCUAGUGUAGCGGUGAAAUGCGUAGAGAUUAGGAGGAACACCAGUGGCGAAGGCGGCUUUUUGGCCUGUAACUGACACUGAGGCGCGAAAGCGUGGGGAGCAAACAGG